Long non-coding RNA from Hypanus sabinus (Atlantic stingray), 1245 nucleotides. RefSeq lists it as uncharacterized. The transcript has 5 exons. NCBI's taxonomy places the organism in Eukaryota, Metazoa, Chordata, Chondrichthyes, Myliobatiformes, Dasyatidae. The record is from RefSeq and is a predicted model, not a curated record.
CUUUGAUCUUGGAAACCAGAGACAGCCGUUUGCUUACAUUGCCUCCUAUAUUCAGUAACUGAACCCAGGUGCGGAGAAUGACAGACUCCCACGUUGAGAAGCAAACAAGAGUUUAUACCGGUUGAGAGCUCAGAAUAUCAACCGAGCGAACCCAUGGGACGUAUCAUUCUCAAAACAAGGAUCUCAUGGAUGAAGGGGAAAGGUAAACUCCACCUUUGGUUAUCUGGAAAUCCCAAUGGUUCAGCAUAUGACACAGCCAGAGAUGAUUCCCAUGCUCCCUUUCACUCCCUGGUUCCUGUGCACCCUUUCACUCUCUUGAUUCAAAGGUUUCAAAGACACAAAAUAUUACCACACAAACAAACAUACAAGAAAGCAAGUGAUCUGCUGGCCUUGUGUUGCAAGAGACUUAUUGAGAUUGUAUUGAGCUUUGGAAAAGCCGUAUAGCUUUGAUCUUUGAAACAAGUGGACUGGAUUCUAAUGAUUAGAGCAUGAUGCCUGCCACAGAUGAUUCCCACUCAUCUGGUUUGGAACUCUAAGGACAAGAGUGGCCUGAACCAAACAGAUAAGCCUGGGAAAUCGGGGAUAUGAGCAAGAACAGGUACAGGUGAGGUACGCCUGUCAAUCAAAUCCAGACCACUCUAUAUAUUCUGGUAAAAAGGAGCAAUGAAAUUAAUCAUAAUUUAUUCUUCUCCAACGCAUGAUGAAUUUGUAUCACAUGCUCUGGUCAUUAAGCAGCCGAUGGCAGGAAAUCCAUACCCCCAGAAUUGCUGUCUUCUGAAACAGAUAAGCACUUAGAACACUUUUAAAUUUACAUGAUAAUCAAAAGCAGGAAAAAAAUCUUUCAAAUGAAAUAUAUUACAGAUGAAGCUUUGGAGUUUACAGGUAAAGUGUGGCCCACAUUUAAUCAAUUAAAUCACAUGAUGUUUGCAUUGUAUUACCACAGUAUGUAAUCAAUUCAGUCACAAAUUGAUGUUCAACAUUGUUUAUGAACUUGUAAGCUGGCCAUUUAAUCAGCAGAUUUUUUUUUGGUCUUUAAUGUUAGUUUCAAUAAUUUGUUCAACUUUAAGUAGGAAACCCAGUUUUAAAUAUUAUGUGAAUAUUAUGGAAUGCAUAUCAAAUGAGUAUCAGGCUGAUAUCACAAUCAAGUUCCAGUUAUGAUUAAACUUCAAAUAAUAAAAUUGAUAGACUGACUCUUAUGAGCUUCUGGUACUGAGAGUCGUUUUUACGGCUUCCCAAAAUAAUAUU